UCAGGCGUAACACAUGCAAGUCGAACGGGAUCUUUGGAUGUAGUGGCGGACGGGUGAGUAACGCGUGGGAACGUGCCCUUUGCUUCGGAAUAGCCCCGGGAAACUGGGAGUAAUACCGGAUGAGCCCUACGGGGGAAAGAUUUAUCGGCGAAGGAUUAGCCCGCGUUGGAUUAGGUAGUUGGUGGGGUAAUGGCCUACCAAGCCGACGAUCCAUAGCUGGUUUGAGAGGAUGAUCAGCCGCACUGGGACUGAGACACGGCCCAGACUCUUACGGGAGGCAGCAGUGGGGAAUCUAAGAGAAUGGGGGAAACCCUGAUCUAGCCAUGCCGCGUAUUAAGAGAGGCCUUAGGGUUGUAAAGCUCUUCAGCUGGGAAGAUAAUG
This 381-nucleotide ribosomal RNA is filed under the name uncultured bacterium. Its description in RNAcentral is "bacterial SSU rRNA". It matches the Rfam family "Bacterial small subunit ribosomal RNA", at positions 42 to 453 of the family's 1533-position model. The record is from RNAcentral.